GGGAGUGCCCAGUUGUUAGCUGAACACUAAAUCAGAGGCAGGUUUUCCAGAGCCUCUCUUUGAAGGGGGUAAGCCUACUCUUUUGGUAACUGACAACACAGCGGAAAAUGUGAAGUUCAGUUCUCAGAGCCAACUGGAGCAUCUCAGGGGAACAGCUCUGAGAAAGAUGGCGGCCGUUAGCCGCGGACCUGAAAAUGGCCUGCUCACCAAGUGGGAACACUCCCGGCUGUGGGUGUUUCUCAGUGUUCUCAGCGAGGGCCCUGAGGGAUGCAGGGGCUGGCAUUUCCAGUUUCAGUGAUUCUAAAGGAUUAUUUUACGUCUGUGGUUCCCGUUGACUGUGCAGCUCAGGCAAUGCUGGUGUCUUGCACAUGUGCUUGAAGACAAGGAAUGUUCAAGGGCGAAAAGUGGC
Molecule: long non-coding RNA, 409 nt
Filed under: Mustela putorius furo (domestic ferret)
Lineage: Eukaryota; Metazoa; Chordata; Mammalia; Carnivora; Mustelidae
Description: lncRNA (ENSMPUG00000028886.1)
Source: RNAcentral